RNAcentral lists this long non-coding RNA (4842 nucleotides) under Sus scrofa (pig). RNAcentral's name for it is "lncRNA (ENSSSCG00000051979.1)". Lineage: Eukaryota; Metazoa; Chordata; Mammalia; Artiodactyla; Suidae. The record is from RNAcentral.
CCAUAAAGACUCUCAGAAGAGUAUUCCAAAUGGAGAAUUCACCAUGAGCAACAGCACCAUCACAAAGAAAUUGACAUCUGAAAAAAGAUAAGAAUGAGGGGCCAAUCCAGUGACCAUAAGGGUCACUAGGGGUAUUGAUUCAAAUUUGGGCCCAUGAACCUAUAUCAUGAACAAAUACCUUGGUAAGGUCAGGGAUUGGGCAUAGUGAAGAGGGCCAUUCUGGUGAUGCAAAGGACCAGGUGUGAGCUGCUAAAGAGAGAAGAUGAUACUUGCUGAGUCCAGAGAUUGUGACUUGCAACAUGGGUCAUUAAUUAUUCACUGGGCAGAUUUCUUAUUAACAAAUAGUACAUGGAUUUGCCCCAGCUUAUGGGGAAAGAAAUGCCACAGCCAUGUUCCAGGAGUGUGAACCUACCCAUAAGUACCCAGCGGUGUUUUCUGACUCCUGGACUAAAGACAGAGAGGAGAGCUCUUGGGCCAGGUGACUGCCUGAUGACUAGAGAUCCCAGUGCUGCUAUGGUCCUACUGCUCUGCCAUUUUGUUGGCUAUCUCAAUAUCAUAUGUUGGCUUUGUUUCUGUCACUUGCAAACCAAAGAGAGCAGCCUAAAAUCCUCUUGUCUCUCUCUCUUUUUUUUUUAAUAGCUACAUGAUGGCUGAAAACUUUAGAAACAGGUUAUAAACUUUGAAACAGAUAUUUUCUUCUUAAAUAAAUGAAUGAAAAACAAAGAAACAACUGUCACAUCACCAUGCAUCUGGCCACCUCCCCACCCCAAGGCUGCUCAGAGAGUGUGCUCCACAUCCAUGGGAUACCUGUGGCCCGAACCUGGCACCCUCCAGGGUUUCAGACCAACCUCUGCUCAAGUUCCCUCAUUUCCUUCUGGGAAAGGUACUGGGAACAAGACCCAUGUGAGAUACUAGGAGAGAAAAUAUUGUUUAAAGAAGUAAAUGGUGGCAGGUUCAUGCCAAAGAAGGACCUGUUCCCUCUGCAGAGGCAGCCACACUUCUUUGAUUCCAUGGAUUGGAGACCAACUCCAACAUAACCUUGGGAACCAUGAACUGAAGUUGACAAGGUCACAUGAUGGAAGGAGCCUGGGUCACGAAGUCACCAGUAGAGGAGAGUGUCCUCAAUUCAGAGGUAUAUGGAUUGAAAGCAGACAAACUGGCCCCACAGAAAAUCCAUGAACUGUUAUGACACUGCCAUUUUGACAUGGAAAUCCAGGGCUGUUGGUCAGCACUUUUGCUGAUGCCCUUAUGUGCUCUUCCCCUGCUCACUUGGCUGAGCAUACACCAAGCAUGGGGUGGGGAGCCUCUAGGCAAGCAAGAGCCUUGUGACCUUUGCAGACAGUAUCAGGUUUGCCUGCUGCCGAAGAAAUCUGUAAUUUAGGAGAAUGAGCUGCGUCCUCUACUGCAAUAUGCCCCACCAUUGCCCUCUGACCCACUCGUGGACAGAGAAUAGGUAAUGACAUGGCACUGCUUUGAUUUCCUAGGCUUCCUGGUAUUAGGUCAGAGUGGUUAGAACUCAGGCUGGUCUCUUCUGGCUGCAGUCAGUGUUUCUACUUGACCAAUGCACUGGAUAUAUAAUAGCACUUUCUAUUAGUGUAGAAUGGUAAGCAGGGACAAGUUAGAGUGUUUUAUAUAGAACCCAACUCUCAGCCUAGUGAUGGCCUGUCCGGCUGGCCAGCCACUUGUUUGGGUUAGAAGGAUAUUCCACAGUGUUCCUUGUGGUUGAUUUUGGCUCACAGGUAACUGGCAACCAGAUACUGAGCAGUGAUCCCUUUGGAGUCAUGGAGGGCCUAAUCACGGCCACAGAAGUGUCUCCCAGUAAGUCCUGGAGGCCCUGCUCAGUGUUCUGUUGGUGGUGUAUGAAUUCUUGAACUGAGGCUUGAGUCUCUGUGGGUCUCCGGGAUAUUCUGGUAUAUGCUGUCCUGAUUGUACUUAUAGAAGAGUCAACAUAUUGUAAAGAGCUACUAAAAAGAUCUAACAGAGAAUCUAGACAAGAUGGCAGAAGAGUAGGGGGACACGCUCACCCUCUCCCACAAACACAACAACAACAAAAAACACAUCUACAGGAUAAAUGACUUGCACAGAACAGCAACCAAUCGCUGGCAGAAGAACCUAAACUCCAAUAACGGCAAGAAGUUCGUGACAUUACUAGGUAAAACAAGAGAAAAGAGGAGAGUGACAGAAGGUGAAUCCGAGCGGACAGGCGCUUCCGAAAGGGAACUGCAGAGGAGAAAGGGAUUCUGCACCCUGGAAAGUCACCUACUGGGGAAAAGAUCAAACGAACCGGAGAAAUCUCCAAAUGCAGAGAAAAGUGUAGCAGUAAGUUGGAGUUCUGAAAAGCAGAUCGAGAACUGAAUGGAUCAUCUGAACUAUGGGCACAGUCACCAAAAAUUGAGACACCUUGGUGGGGGCUGGGCACCGAGUCCUCGGCUCCAGAGGUUAGUCCUUGGGAAAGGGCUUGGGGAGCAGGGUGGAGCAGAGACUGCUUGGGAGGUCUAGAAACCAGUCUGUCAAGUUUGACAGGGCAGAGACUGCCUGGGAGACUAGAAAGCAAAGCUGUUGCAGGGGAAGGGAGCAAUACUCUAGGGGCGGGGAAAUGGAAAGCCACAUCAGAGGGAACCUGGGAGAAGGGCCUGGUCUGCGCCCGUGUUGGGGAGGGGAGAGAAGAAGGGGUGGGUCCCCAUAGAAUACUCCCCAUGUCACAGCAAGCUCACCAGCCCACUAGCUAUCAGAAAGCUGUGCAUUCUAGUGCAUCCCCUCCCCCCACCCCCACCACCCCUUACCCACUCUCUAGACCUGGGGCUCCUGCCAUCUGGGAGGGCUGGCCUCAACACUUGCUGGAAGCCUACCACCACAGGGGCUGUCCCUGCCCUGGCCUGCUUGCCCUUUGGAGGGGCUACACCCCAGCGGAGCAGCACCAAACACCACCAGCCCCUGAGAAAAGGCCUGCAGCCCAGAAAAGCUAGAACAAGCCUGGCCAGGCUGUAAAAAGAUCUGCCUAAUUCUCACACAGUCUUUCCGAGUCAGGCUGCCCUGGGGAGGAGGCUCUUAGGUUCACAGUGGCCCAGCUAGCCGCCCAAGCACUCAGGGGGUGCCGAACUCUCGCGGAUAAGCUGCAUAGGACUGCCAGCUAUCUGUAGGACCCCCUGCAGCUCAGAAAAACUACAAUAAGCCUGGCCGGGCUGUGAAAAGAUCUGCCUAAUUCUUGGACAGUCAUUCUGAGUCGGGCUGCCCUGUGGAAGAGCCUCUUGGGUUUUCAGCAGCCCAGCUAGGUGCUCCAGCCCUCAGGGGGAGCUGCACUCUCAUGGAUCAGUUGCACAGGACUGCCAGCUCCAGGCAGGACCCCCUGCAGCCCAGAAAAGCUACAACAAGCUUGGCCAGACUGUGAAAAGAUCUUCCAACAUUCUCAGACAGUCCUUCUGAGUUGGGCUGCCCUAGGGAAGAGCCUUUGAGUUCUCAGUGCCCAGAUAGCUGCUCCAGCACUCGGGGGGUGCUGCACUCCUGAGGAACAGCUGCUCAACACUGCCAACCCCCUGCAAGAACCCCACAGCCUAAAAACACCAGAGCAAGCUCUGCAUGACCAAGUGAAAUCUGCUACCAUCGUGGUGUAGACCUCCCAGUCCUGUCUGCCCUCAGGCAGUCCCCCUUUGCUUCAAAGAGACCCUGUUAGCCCCAUCAACACUCCAGAAAAGCCACCCUGCCUCAAAAAGACUGACCAACAACGCCAGCCCUCAGGAAAUAUUCCACAGCAGUGACAAGGCAAACCCUGCCCGGUCACAGACAGUACAACUCCCACAGGAAAAAGAAAACAACAAGCAAGAUGAAGAAGCUGAGAAACCACCUCCAGUCAAACCAACAGGAGAACUCACCUAAAACAGUCAACAAUGAAACAGAUCUCUGCAGUCUGACAGACCUGGAGUUCAAAAGAGAAAUAGUGAAAAUAUGGAAGGAACUAAGAGAAGAUAUGAACAGUAAUGCAGAUACCCUCAGUAAGGAACUGGAAAAUAAAAGGAAGAGCCAAGAAAAACUAGAAAAUUCAUUUGCAGAGAUACAAACAGAACUACGGGCAGUAAAAACCAGAAUGAAUAAUGCAGAAGAAUGAAUCAGUGAUAUGGAAGAUAGAAUAAUGGAAAUUACCCAAUCAGGUCAGCAGACAGAAAACCAAAUCAAAAAAUAGGAAAGCAAUAUAAGAGACCUAUGGGAUAAUAUAAAGUGGGCCAAUCUACACAUAAUAGGAAUUCCAGAAGGAGUAGAAAAAGACAAGGGAAUGGAAAAUAUAUUUGAAGAAAUUAUCACUGGAAACUUCCCAAAUCUAAAGGAUACUGGGUUCAAGAUACAGGAAGCACAGAGGACCCCAAACAAAUUGAAUCCAAAUAGACCCACACCAAGACACAUCAUAAUAAAAAUGGCAAAAGUUGGUGAUAAAGAGAGGAUCCUAAAAACAUCAAGAGACAAGCAGAAUGUUACCUACAAGGGAACCCCCAUAAGGUUAUCAGCUUAUUUCUCUACAGAAACACUACAGGCCACAACACUAAUGGCAAGAGAUACUUAAAGUGCUAAAAGGAAAAAAUAUGCAAUCUAGAAUACUCUAUCCAGCAAGAAUAUCAUUUAAAAUAGAAGGGGAAAUAAAAAUUUUUUUCCAACAAACAAAAGCUAAAAGAAUACAGCAACACAAAACCCAGGCUAAAAGAAAUACUGAAAGGCCUUCUCCAAACCAAAAAAAUGAAGGAAGGAAAGAAAAAGAAAAAAAAAAAAAAGAAGAGGAAGAACUAGGACUGAGGAAACCACAAUCAGAGAGCAGUCACUCAAAUAAGCCAGCAUACUGAUUUAAUCAUGAACAUG